AGAAGAAAGAAGAACUUUGGGAUUAUGUCUUGAAACAUUUUAUUGUCCCAAUUGAGGGAAAAAAUGGGUUUUGCAAACCAUUGAUGCUUCUUGGAGAAGGUACAAAUGUUAUUUAAAAAGAGUACACUUUCAUAAAUAUGACAAUGAUAAAACAAGGAUGAUCAAACGACCAAAACUAGUCCCAAAAAAUAUGUUCCAAGACUUGUUAAAGAUUUGGAAUGAUGUCAAAUAUGAGGAACGAUGUAUGCAAAAUAAAGCAAAUCGAUUAGUUGGAAAGGAAAACAACAUUAUGCAUACUUCAGGACCAAAGAGUUUUGCUAGGGUUCGAUUUAAGUGGGUGAGUUUGUUUGUUUGCUUGUUUACAUUUCUCAUCACUUUUAUUAUUGGUUUUAUUUCUGCAUUAAAAUGAUUGACACUCAUUACUCUUGUAUAGAAAAAGGAUAAUAAAACAACAAAAAAUCCUAGUUUAGCUCAAAUGUUCAUAGCAACACGCAAGGAGAAGCUAACAAAGCGAAAGCCUGGUGACCUAAGGGACAAAUUGAUGACUGAACUUGAGAAAUUAGAUUCAGAGGAGGAGGUUGAAAGUGUGAUUUCAACUAUUAUUGGUUCUGAUAACAAGAAAAAGUCUCGAUUAAAUUUUCAUGGA
Long non-coding RNA from Chenopodium quinoa (quinoa), 646 nucleotides. RefSeq lists it as uncharacterized. The transcript has 4 exons. Lineage: Eukaryota; Viridiplantae; Streptophyta; Magnoliopsida; Caryophyllales; Amaranthaceae. The record is from RefSeq and is a predicted model, not a curated record.